RNAcentral lists this ribosomal RNA (440 nucleotides) under uncultured bacterium. Its description in RNAcentral is "partial 16S ribosomal RNA". It matches the Rfam family "Bacterial small subunit ribosomal RNA", at positions 338 to 795 of the family's 1533-position model. The record is from RNAcentral.
CCUACGGGAGGCUGCAGUGGGGAAUAUUGCACAAUGGGGGAAACCCUGAUGCAGCGACGCCGCGUGAGUGAAGAAGUAAUUCGUUACGUAACGCUCUAUCACCAGGGAAGAAAAUGCCGGUAACUGAGUAAGAAGCACCGGCUAACUACGGGCCAGCAGCCGCGGUAAUACGUAGGGGGCAAGCGUUAUCCGGAUUUACUGGGUGUAAAGGGAGCGUAGACGGUGCGCAGAGUCUGGAGUGAAAGGCCGCAGCUUAACUGCGGAACUGCUUUGGAAACUGGCGAACUAGAGUGCGGGAGGGGUGAGCGGAAUUCCUAGUGUAGCGGUGAAAUGCGUAGAUAUUAGGAGGAAUACCGGUGGCGAAGGCGGCUUACUGGACCGUAACUGACGUUGAGGAUCGAAAGCGUGGGGAGCAAACAGGAUUAGAUACCCUUGUAGUC